Molecule: ribosomal RNA, 497 nt
Filed under: uncultured bacterium
Lineage: Bacteria
Description: partial 16S ribosomal RNA
Rfam family: Bacterial small subunit ribosomal RNA
Source: RNAcentral
GAUGAACGCUGGCGGCGUGCCUAAUACAUGCAAGUCGAGCGAACAGACGAGGAGCUUGCUCCUCUGACGUUAGCGGCGGACGGGUGAGUAACACGUGGAUAACCUACCUAUAAGACUGGGAUAACUUCGGGAAACCGGAGCUAAUACCGGAUAAUAUAUUGAACCGCAUGGUUCAAUAGUGAAAGACGGUUUUGCUGUCACUUAUAGAUGGAUCCGCGCCGCAUUAGCUAGUUGGUAAGGUAACGGCUUACCAAGGCAACGAUGCGUAGCCGACCUGAGAGGGUGAUCGGCCACACUGGAGCUGAGACACGGUCCAGACUCCUACGGGAGGCAGCAGUAGGGAAUCUUCCGCAAUGGGCGAAAGCCUGACGGAGCAACGCCGCGUGAGUGAUGAAGGUCUUCGGAUCGUAAAACUCUGUUAUUAGGGAAGAACAGAUGUGUAAGUAACUAUGCACGUCUUGACGGUACCUAAUCAGAAAGCCACGGCUAACUACGUG